UGCAGUCGAGCGAAUGGAUUGAGAGCUUGCUCUCAUGAAGUUAGCGGCGGACGGGUGAGUAACACGUGGGUAACCUGCCCAUAAGACUGGGAUAACUCCGGGAAACCGGGGCUAAUACCGGAUAAUAUUUUGAACUGCAUGGUUCGAAAUUGAAAGGCGGCUUCGGCUGUCACUUAUGGAUGGACCCGCGUCGCAUUAGCUAGUUGGUGAGGUAACGGCUCACCAAGGCAACGAUGCGUAGCCGACCUGAGAGGGUGAUCGGCCACACUGGGACUGAGACACGGCCCAGACUCCUACGGGAGGCAGCAGUAGGGAAUCUUCCGCAAUGGACGAAAGUCUGACGGAGCAACGCCGCGUGAGUGAUGAAGGCUUUCGGGUCGUAAAACUCUGUUGUUAGGGAAGAACAAGUGCUAGUUGAAUAAGCUGGCACCUUGACGGUACCUAACCAGAAAGCCACGGCUAACUACGUGCCAGCAGCCGCGGUAAUACGUAGGUGGCAAGCGUUAUCCGGAAUUAUUGGGCGUAAAGCGCGCGCAGGUGGUUUCUUAAGUCUGAUGUGAAAGCCCACGGCUCAACCGUGGAGGGUCAUUGGAAACUGGGAGACUUGAGUGCAGAAGAGGAAAGUGGAAUUCCAUGUGUAGCGGUGAAAUGCGUAGAGAUAUGGAGGAACACCAGUGGCGAAGGCGACUUUCUGGUCUGUAACUGACACUGAGGCGCGAAAGCGUGGGGA
Molecule: ribosomal RNA, 730 nt
Filed under: Bacillus thuringiensis
Lineage: Bacteria; Bacillati; Bacillota; Bacilli; Caryophanales; Bacillaceae
Description: bacterial SSU rRNA
Rfam family: Bacterial small subunit ribosomal RNA
Source: RNAcentral